RNAcentral lists this ribosomal RNA (465 nucleotides) under uncultured bacterium. RNAcentral describes it as "bacterial SSU rRNA". It matches the Rfam family "Bacterial small subunit ribosomal RNA", at positions 28 to 507 of the family's 1533-position model. The record is from RNAcentral.
GACGAACGCUGGCGGCGCGCUUAACACAUGCAAGUCGUGCGGUGUCGAAGGCAAGUCUUACGACAAGCCUUCGACACAGCGGCGAACGGGUGAGUAACACGUGAGUAGCUGUCCUAAGGAGGGGGAUAACGCCUGGAAACGGGUGCUAACACCCCAUAUGCCUCGCAAGAGGUGAAAGUGUACUUGCUACAGCCUUAGGGUGUGCUCGCGGCCUAUCAGCUAGUUGGUGAGGUAACGGCUCACCAAGGCCAAGACGGGUAGCCGGCCUGAGAGGGUGUACGGCCACACUGGAAUUGAGAUACGGUCCAGACUCCUACGGGAGGCAGCAGUGGGGAAUCUUGGGCAAUGGGCGAAAGCCUGACCCAGCGACGCCGCGUUGGGGAUGAAGCCCUUCGGGGCGUAACCCAUGUUGUAGGGGACGAAGAAAGUGACGGUACCCUACGAGAAAGCCCGGCCAACUACGUG